GCAAACUUGGUCAUUUAGAGGAAGUAAAAGUCGUAACAAGGUUUCCGUAGGUGAACCUGCGGAAGGAUCAUUAAAAAAAGGGUCUUUUGACCCAUUUUUUUAAAAACCCACUAUCAAUUCUAGCCCAUCGGGUCAGAUGGAAGUGGGUUUUUUUCAAACACCAAAAUUUUAAACUAUUCGUCUUAUGACGAAACCAAAAAUUAAUAAAUAAAACUUUCAACAAUGGAUCUCUUGGCUCUCGCAUCGAUGAAGAACGCAGC
RNAcentral lists this unclassified non-coding RNA (260 nucleotides) under uncultured fungus. RNAcentral describes it as "partial contains small subunit ribosomal RNA, internal transcribed spacer 1, and 5.8S ribosomal RNA". The stretch from base 1 to 73 matches the Rfam family "Eukaryotic small subunit ribosomal RNA", at positions 1759 to 1831 of the family's 1831-position model. Lineage: Eukaryota; Fungi. The record is from RNAcentral.